Molecule: ribosomal RNA, 465 nt
Filed under: uncultured bacterium
Lineage: Bacteria
Description: partial 16S ribosomal RNA
Rfam family: Bacterial small subunit ribosomal RNA
Source: RNAcentral
GACGAACGCUGGCGGCGUGCUUAACACAUGCAAGUCGAACGGAAAGGCCCCUUCGGGGGUACUCGAGUGGCGAACAGGUGAGUAACACGUGAGUAACCUGCCCUUGACUUCGGGAUAACUUCAGGAAACUGGGGCUAAUACCGGAUAGGAAUCCUUGCUGCAUGGUGGGGGUUGGAAAGCUUCGGCGGUUUUGGAUGGACUCGCGGCUUAUCAGCUUGUUGGUGGGGUAGUGGCUUACCAAGGCUUUGACGGGUAGCCGGCCUGAGAGGGCGACCGGCCACAGUGGGACUGAGAUACGGCCCAGACUCCUACGGGAGGCAGCAGUGGGGAAUAUUGCACAAUAGGCGGAAGCCUGAUGCAGCAACGCCGCGUGCGGGAUGACGGCCUUCGGGUUGGAAACCGCUUUCAGCAGGGGCGAAGCUUGUGGUGACGGUACCUGCAGAAGAAGCACCGGCUAACUACGUG